AAUAGAUACCCAGGUAGUCCUAGCCGUAAACGAUGAGCACUUGGUUGGAGGCUCCUCCAUAGGCUUCCGGCCGUAGCGAAAGUGUUAAGUGCUCCGCCUGGGGAGUAUGGCCGCAAGGCUGAAACUCAAAGGAAUUGACGGGGGCUCACACAAGCGGUGGAGGAUGUGGCUUAAUUCGAGGCUACGCGAAGAACCUUAUCCUAGUCUUGACAUGCAUGGAUUAACCCUAUGAAAGUAGGGCCACGCCUUCGGGUGGAACAUGCACAGGUGCUGCAUGACUGUCGUCAGCUCGUGUCGUGAGAUGUCGCGUUAAGUCGCUUAACGAGCGAAACCCUUGUCCUUAGUUGCCAGCGGGUCAUGCCGGGGACUCUAAGGAGACUGCCGGUGUUAAACCGGAGGAAGGUGGGGAUGACGUCAAGUCCUCAUGGCCUUUAUGACUAGGGCUGCACACGUCCUACAAUGGCGCGCACAAAGGGAAGCAAACUCGCGAGAGCCAGCAAAUCCCAAAAAACGCGCCUCAGUUCGG
This 526-nucleotide ribosomal RNA is filed under the name uncultured bacterium. RNAcentral describes it as "bacterial SSU rRNA". It matches the Rfam family "Bacterial small subunit ribosomal RNA", at positions 777 to 1296 of the family's 1533-position model. The record is from RNAcentral.